UACGUAGGGGGCAAGCGUUGUCCGGAAUCAUUGGGCGUAAAGCGCGCGUAGGCGGCCCGGUAAGUCCGCUCUGAAAGUCCAAGGCUCAACCUUGGGAUGCGGGUGGAUACUGCCGGGCUAGAGUCCGGAAGAGGCGAGUGGAAUUCCUGGUGUAGCGGUGGAAUGCGCAGAUAUCAGGAGGAACACCGAUGGCGAAGGCAGGUCUCUGGGCCACUACUGACGCUGAGAAGCGAAAGCAUGGGGAGCGAACAGG
RNAcentral lists this ribosomal RNA (253 nucleotides) under uncultured bacterium. RNAcentral's name for it is "partial 16S ribosomal RNA". It matches the Rfam family "Bacterial small subunit ribosomal RNA", at positions 524 to 776 of the family's 1533-position model. The record is from RNAcentral.